This 406-nucleotide ribosomal RNA is filed under the name uncultured bacterium. RNAcentral's name for it is "partial 16S ribosomal RNA". It matches the Rfam family "Bacterial small subunit ribosomal RNA", at positions 30 to 526 of the family's 1533-position model. The record is from RNAcentral.
AUUGAACGCUGGCGGCAGGCCUAACACAUGCAAGUCGAACGAGUGGCGGACGGGUGAGUAAUGUCUGGGAAACUGCCUGAUGGAGGGGGCUAACUACUGGAACCGGUAGCUAAUACCGCAUACCAUCGGAUGUGCCCAGAUGGGAUUAGCUAGUAGGUGGGGUAAAGGCUCACCAAGGCAACGAUCCCUAGCUGGUCUGCGAGGGUGACCAGCCACACUGGAACUGAGACAAGGUCCAGACUCCUACGGGAGGAAGCAGUGGGGAAGAUUGGACAAUGGGCGCAAGCCUGAUGCAGCCAUGCCGCGUGUAUGAAGAAGGCCUUCGGGUUGUAAAGUACUGUCAGCGGGGAGGCGUUACCCGCAGAAGAAGCACCGGCUAACUCCGUGCCAGCAGCCGCGGUAAUAC